Molecule: long non-coding RNA, 1110 nt
Organism: Felis catus (domestic cat)
Lineage: Eukaryota; Metazoa; Chordata; Mammalia; Carnivora; Felidae
Exons: 4
Source: RefSeq, a predicted model, not a curated record
AGCAGGAGGCCCAUAGAGUUCUUGGCCGCAGCAGCGGCGGCGGCAGCAGCGGCAGCAGCAGCAGCAUGGCGGCAACUCCGUGGCGGGCGGCCUGGCGGCUUGGGCCGCAUUCCCCGUCCCUGUGGUGGUUUGCGCCACUCUUUAGCUACUCUUUUAAGGUUGGAUUGUAGGCAUUCUUCAUUGGCCCUCAGAACAUCCCUGAGACUCGUCAUUGCUUCUACUGUUCUAGGGAGGAUAAUCUGGAGGUACACAUUGACUGGGAACCUGCCCAAAUAUUACACAGAUCUAACCAAGAAUCAAAUCCAAAUCUUUGGACAUAUGUGAAAAACAGAAAGAGAAGACAAAUGGAGUGCAUGUGUCUGCAUCAGCGAACUACAUUAUUUCUCAAGUGAAGACUGCUGAAGACAACCUGGUAGACUCGAGAUAAAAAAGAUUAUUGCAGAAAAAGAAGGAUACGCAAGUGGUAAAAGAUACACUUUAACAAGGUCCUGAAAGUCGGCAACAUAGGAAGAAGUUGGGAUCAGAGAGAGAAGACAAGCAAACCUUGAACUGACACUACUGAUUCACAGCCUUAACAUUGUGGAGACAAGAAUGCCUCCAGAUAGGACUCUAAGGUAAUUUUUAAAAAUUAUCCAUAGGGAUUCAUAUUCUAUAGCAUGAGUUGGAAGGUACCUGAGGUAAUCGAGGUACCUCAGAAGGAGUUAACUACAAAGAGGAAUCUCACAGUUACAGAGUGUAUUUUAAAACUCAGUGUAUUAGGAGUGAGAACAUUUGCUAAAUUCCACCUUGUCUAUUUAAGUGCUUCUAAUCUCCUUUUUUUAAUGCCCUGAGUUCCCUAUUUCAUAGGCAAGUUCAGAUAUUCAGUGAUAAUGAAAAAAAGAGAAGCUUUAGAUAAAUGAGUUUUGGCUUUAUUUUAACAACUUUGUUGAAAUAUAAUUCAUAUAACAUAAAAUUCAUCCAUUUAAAACAUGCAAUGCACCAUGUAUAUUUAGCUGCAAUAUAUUUAGCACAUUAGUUGUGCAACUAUCAUCACAAUGAAUUUUAAAACACUUCAAUCACCCCCAAAAUAAGCCCAGUACCGUGUAGCAAUCCCUAUGUAUUCCCUCUCAC